This is a non-coding RNA of Ictidomys tridecemlineatus (thirteen-lined ground squirrel), 72 nucleotides long. NCBI's taxonomy places the organism in Eukaryota, Metazoa, Chordata, Mammalia, Rodentia, Sciuridae. The record is from Rfam.
UGUGGUAUAGCUCAAUGAUAGAGUGCUUGCCUGGCAUGCGCAAGGCCCUGGGUUCAAUCCCCAGUACCACAA